Molecule: long non-coding RNA, 291 nt
Filed under: Homo sapiens (human)
Lineage: Eukaryota; Metazoa; Chordata; Mammalia; Primates; Hominidae
Description: HSALNT0202103
Source: RNAcentral
UGUAGGUACCAAGACGUGGAUAUGGGGGAGAACCUUGAAAUAUGAUAACGGACUAUGCCACCAGCAUGUCUCUGGAACCUAUGAUCAGGCAAGGUUCUAAAGUACGUAGUCUGUGUCAAUGGAGAUGUCACAAUGUCUAUUUCCCUUUGAAGGAAGGAUUAGAUUCUUUAGAUAAUGAUCAGCCUAGUCAGAAAACAACAUUCCCCAAGCAAGCAUAAAGAGAGGACACAAUUACUGACGGACAGCGGAAAUGUGCUGCGGGCUGGAGUGGGGGGGCUGAAAACAAGGAAA